This 87-nucleotide transfer RNA is filed under the name Gemmatimonadota bacterium. RNAcentral describes it as "Gemmatimonadetes bacterium (marine metagenome) tRNA-Tyr". It matches the Rfam family "tRNA". From Rfam's summary of the family: Transfer RNA (tRNA) molecules are approximately 80 nucleotides in length. Their secondary structure includes four short double-helical elements and three loops (D, anti-codon, and T loops). Lineage: Bacteria; Pseudomonadati; Gemmatimonadota. The record is from RNAcentral.
GGGGGGAUACUCAAGCGGUCAACGAGGGCAGACUGUAAAUCUGCUGGCUUAAUGCCUACGGCGGUUCGAGUCCGUCUCCCCCCACCA